This 254-nucleotide ribosomal RNA is filed under the name uncultured bacterium. Its description in RNAcentral is "partial 16S ribosomal RNA". It matches the Rfam family "Bacterial small subunit ribosomal RNA", at positions 524 to 776 of the family's 1533-position model. The record is from RNAcentral.
UACGAAGGGGGCUAGCGUUGCUCGGAAUGACUGGGCGUAAAGGGCGCGUAGGCGGCAAAUUAAGUCAGCUGUGAAAUCUCCGAGCUUAACUCGGAACUGUCAGCUGAUACUGAUCUGCUAGAGUGCGGAAGGGGCAAUCGGAAUUCUUGGUGUAGCGGUGAAAUGCGUAGAUAUCAAGAGGAACACCUGAGGUGAAGACGGGUUGCUGGGCCGACACUGACGCUGAGUGCGCGAAAGCCAGGGGAGCAAACGGG